GCGGCGGGCGGGCGGCGGGCGGAAGGCAUCACUUUGUCCGGACUCUAAUUCAAAUUGUAUUCAUCCGAUCUUCACCAAACUUGGUCAGCAGUUGCAUCUAGUUGAUAUCUAGGCCAAGUUCGAAUAUGGGUCAUGCCGGGUCAAAAACUAGGUCAUAGGGUCAAUAAGUGCAUUUUCAAAGGGGCCACUUUGUCCGGACUCUAUUUCAAAUUGUAUUCAUCCGAUCUUCACCAAACUUGGUCAGCAGUUGCAUCUAGUUGAUAUAUAGGCCAAGUUCGAAUAUGGGUCAUGCCGGGUCAAAAACUAGGUCAUAGGGUCAAUUAGUGCAUUUUCAACGGCGCCACUUUGUCCGGACUCUAAUUCAAAUUGUAUUCAUCCGAAACUUUUAAACAACUUUUUAUCCUGCGUCAAAGUGGUAUGGGGGUAUAAGUCACAUUCAGUGACAAAGCUCUAGUUCAAGUUGAAUUCACCAAACUUGGUCAGAGGUAGUAUAUAGAUUAUAUAUCAGUCAGGUCUGAUUGGAGACAUGCAACCGAUUAACACAUGCAAUAUUUUUAUGCAAUAUUUUUAUCCAGUUUUAUUUUGCGAUAUUUUCAUCGGGUUUAUUUUUUUCGCGAUUUUUGAAACGAGUUAUUUUUAACAACAUGUUUAUUGGUAAGUUUCAUU
Dreissena polymorpha is the source of this 666-nucleotide long non-coding RNA. RefSeq lists it as uncharacterized. Lineage: Eukaryota; Metazoa; Mollusca; Bivalvia; Myida; Dreissenidae. The record is from RefSeq and is a predicted model, not a curated record. The transcript has 2 exons.